This 1396-nucleotide ribosomal RNA is filed under the name uncultured organism. RNAcentral's name for it is "16S ribosomal RNA". It matches the Rfam family "Bacterial small subunit ribosomal RNA", at positions 58 to 1430 of the family's 1533-position model. The record is from RNAcentral.
CAAGUCGAACGGGCUAUGUGAUUGGGUAACCGAGAUCAUAGUUAGUGGCGAAAGGAUGAGUAAUGGAUAGGUAACGUACCUCUUGCUCUGGGAUAGCGUCUAGAUGAUACAUCUUUCCGAAAGGGGCGGUAAUGCCAGGUAAUAUCACGAAUUGCAGGAUUUGUGAUCAUAGAUNUAUCGGCGAGAGCGCGGNCUAUUCCCUAUCAGCUAGUUGGUGAGGUAACGGCUCACCAAGGCAAUGACGGGUAGCGGGACUGAGAGGUUGGCCCGCCAUAUCGGGACUGAGACACUGCCCGGACCUCCACGGAGGGCUGCAGUAACGAAUAUUGGGCAAUGAGCGCAAGCUUGACCCAGCGACGCCGCGUGCGGGAUGAAGCUCCUCGGAGUGUAAACCGCUGUCAGGGAUACGUAAGCAUGGUUUUCCAUGUUGAACUACCCCAAAGGAAGUCACGGCUAACUUCGUGCCAGCAGCCGCGGUAAUACGAAGGUGGCAAGCGUUGUUCGGAAUCACUGGGCAUAAAGCGUACGUAGGCGGAUUACCAAGUGUCCUUUGAAAUCCCUCGGCUUAACCGAGGAACUGGGGGGCAAACUGGUAAUCUUGAGGCAUGUAGGGGUGUGUGGAACUCUUGGUGGAGCGGUGGAAUGCGUAGAUAUCAAGAGGAACGCCAGCGGAGAAAUCGGCACACUGGGCAUGUCCUGACGCUGAGGUACGAAAGCAUGGGUAGCGAACGGGAUUAGAUACCCCGGUAGUCCAUGCUGUAAACGAUGUCUACUAGGUUGCGGGAGUUCUGACGCUUUCGCAGCCGCAGCAAAAGUGUUAAGUAGACCGCCUGGGGAGUACGGUCGCAAGGCUAAAACUCAAAGGAAUUGACGGGGGCUCACACAAGCGGUGGAGCAUGUGGAUUAAUUCGAAGCAACGCGCAGAACCUUACCUAGGUUUGACAUGCUUGGAUGCUUGCCUGGAAACAGGUUAAGCUGCCUUUCGGGGUGAAACUUGCACAGGUGCUGCAUGGCUGUCGUCAGCUCGUGUCGUGAGAUGUUGGGUUAAGUCCUUAAACGAGCGAAACCCUUGCCGCUAGUUGCCAGCGAGUAAUGUCGGGGACUCUAGCGGGACUGCCGGUGUUAAACCGGAGGAAGGCGGGGAUGACGUCAAGUCCUCAUGGCCUUUAUGCCUAGGGCUUCACACGUGCUACAAUGGGAAGUACAGAGCGACGCAAGACCGUGAGGUGGAGCAAAUCGCACAAAGCUUUCCUCAGUUCGGAUUGUAGUCUGCAACUCGGCUACAUGAAGUUGGAAUCGCUAGUAAUCGCGUAUCAGCUAUGACGCGGUGAAUAUGUUCCUGAGCCUUGUACACACCGCCCGUCAAGUCACGGAAAUCGGGAGCACCCGAAGUAGG